RNAcentral lists this ribosomal RNA (375 nucleotides) under uncultured microorganism. RNAcentral's name for it is "bacterial SSU rRNA". It matches the Rfam family "Bacterial small subunit ribosomal RNA", at positions 9 to 372 of the family's 1533-position model. The record is from RNAcentral.
GAGUUUGAUCAUGGCUCAGGAUGAACGCUGGCGGCGUGCCUAAUACAUGCAAGUCGAGCGAACGGACGAGAAGCUUGCUUCUCUGAUGUUAGCGGCGGACGGGUGAGUAACACGUGGAUAACCUACCUAUAAGACUGGGAUAACUUCGGGAAACCGGAGCUAAUACCGGAUAAUAUUUUGAACCGCAUGGUUCAAAAGUGAAAGACGGUCUUGCUGUCACUUAUAGAUGGAUCCGCGCUGCAUUAGCUAGUUGGUAAGGUAACGGCUUACCAAGGCAACGAUGCAUAGCCGACCUGAGAGGGUGAUCGGCCACACUGGGAACUGAGACACGGUCCAGACUCCUACGGGAGGCAGCAGUAGGGAAUCUUCCGCAAU